GACGGAGGGUGCUAGCGUUGUUCGGAAUUACUGGGCGUAAAGGGCGCGUAGGCGGCUUGUUAAGUCGGGUGUGAAAGCCCGGGGCUCAACCCCGGAACUGCAUCCGAGACUGGCAGGCUCGAGGUCGGAAGAGGAGAGUGGAAUACCCAGUGUAGAGGUGAAAUUCGUAGAUAUUGGGUGGAACACCGGUGGCGAAAGCGGCUCUCUGGUCCGAAUCUGACGCUGAGGCGCGAAAGCGUGGGGAGCAAACAGG
Molecule: unclassified non-coding RNA, 253 nt
Filed under: uncultured Alphaproteobacteria bacterium
Lineage: Bacteria; Pseudomonadati; Pseudomonadota; Alphaproteobacteria
Description: contains 16S-23S intergenic spacer region
Rfam family: Bacterial small subunit ribosomal RNA
Source: RNAcentral